AUUGAACGCUGGCGGCAUGCCUUACACAUGCAAGUCGAACGGUAACAGGUCUUCGGAUGCUGACGAGUGGCGAACGGGUGAGUAAUACAUCGGAACGUGCCUAGUAGUGGGGGAUAACUACUCGAAAGAGUGGCUAAUACCGCAUGAGAUCUACGGAUGAAAGCAGGGGAUCGCAAGACCUUGUGCUACUAGAGCGGCCGAUGGCAGAUUAGGUAGUUGGUGGGAUAAAAGCUUACCAAGACGACGAUCUGUAGCUGGUCUGAGAGGACGAUCAGCCACACUGGGACUGAGACACGGCCCAGACUCCUACGGGAGGCAGCAGUGGGGAAUUUUGGACAAUGGGCGAAAGCCUGAUCCAGCAAUGCCGCGUGGAGGAUGAAUGCCUUCGGGUUGUAAACUGCUUUUGUACGGAACGAAAAGCCCCGGGUUAAUACCCUGGGGUCAUGACGGUACCGUAAGAAUAAGCACCGGCUAACUACGUGCCAGCCGCCGCCGUAA
This 498-nucleotide ribosomal RNA is filed under the name uncultured bacterium. RNAcentral describes it as "partial 16S ribosomal RNA". It matches the Rfam family "Bacterial small subunit ribosomal RNA", at positions 30 to 523 of the family's 1533-position model. The record is from RNAcentral.